ACUUUUCAGCAAUGCUGGAGCUGUUAGACUUUGGCAACUUUUAGAGACAAGGAAGCUGAGGUGAAGGACACUGUUCUACUCACACAGCCAGGGAGUGGCAGAGAAAGGAUUUGAAUCCAAGUCUUCCCUUUGGAAUCAAAGUCUAUGUUUAGAGGUUACUAAACUAGAGAUGUAAUCUUAACAGCUCCAUAAAGGGACCUGAGGUGGAUCCAAAGGCAGAGCAGUAUCUUCAGUGUAGAUGUGCUGCACCCAUCCCCCUCACUUCAAAAGCCACAAGAACAAACUGCAGAGCUGGAGAAAUAAAUAAAAAAUUAGUUUCGUGUUUUCAGAGUCCAGAGGGGGUGGCGGGCAUUGAAUUAUUCAGGCUGUUUGGGUGUGAACUGUUAGUUUUCUACCGCUCUUGCCUUGAUGGCUCCUCUGACACA
Long non-coding RNA from Chinchilla lanigera (long-tailed chinchilla), 425 nucleotides. RefSeq lists it as uncharacterized. NCBI's taxonomy places the organism in Eukaryota, Metazoa, Chordata, Mammalia, Rodentia, Chinchillidae. The transcript has 3 exons. The record is from RefSeq and is a predicted model, not a curated record.